AUUGAACGCUGGCGGCAUGCCUUACACAUGCAAGUCGAACGGUAACGGGCCUUCGGGUGCCGACGAGUGGCGAACGGGUGAGUAAUGCAUCGGAACGUACCUUUCAGUGGGGGAUAACGUAGCGAAAGUUACGCUAAUACCGCAUAUUCUGUGAGCAGGAAAGCAGGGGAUCGCAAGACCUUGCGCUGAUUGAGCGGCCGAUGUCAGAUUAGCUAGUUGGUGAGGUAAAGGCUCACCAAGGCGACGAUCUGUAGCGGGUCUGAGAGGAUGAUCCGCCACACUGGAACUGAGACACGGUCCAGACUCCUACGGGAGGCAGCAGUGGGGGAAUUUUGGACAAUGGGGGCAACCCUGAUCCAGCCAUGCCGCGUGAGUGAAGAAGGCCUCGG
This 389-nucleotide ribosomal RNA is filed under the name uncultured bacterium. Its description in RNAcentral is "bacterial SSU rRNA". It matches the Rfam family "Bacterial small subunit ribosomal RNA", at positions 30 to 420 of the family's 1533-position model. The record is from RNAcentral.